UAGGGAAUCUUCCGCAAUGGACGAAAGUCUGACGGAGCAACGCCGCGUGAGUGAUGAAGGGUUUCGGCUCGUAAAGCUCUGUUAUGAGGAAAGAACACGUACCGUUCGAAUAGGGCGGUACCUUGACGGUACCUCAUCAGAAAGCCACGGCUAACUACGUGCCAGCAGCCGCGGUAAUACGUAGGUGGCAAGCGUUGUCCGGAAUUAUUGGGCGUAAAGCGCGCGCAGGCGGCCUUUUAAGUCUGAUGUGAAAUCUUGCGGCUCAACCGCAAGCGGCCAUUGGAAACUGGGAGGCUUGAGUACAGAAGAGGAGAGUGGAAUUCCACGUGUAGCGGUGAAAUGCGUAGAUAUGUGGAGGAACACCAGUGGCGAAGGCGACUCUCUGGUCUGUAACUGACGCUGAGGCGCGAAAGCGUGGGGAGCAAACAGG
RNAcentral lists this ribosomal RNA (430 nucleotides) under uncultured bacterium. RNAcentral describes it as "bacterial SSU rRNA". It matches the Rfam family "Bacterial small subunit ribosomal RNA", at positions 355 to 776 of the family's 1533-position model. The record is from RNAcentral.